GGCAUAUACAAAGAGAAGCGACCUCGCGAGAGCAAGCGGACCUCAUAAAGUAUGUCGUAGUCCGGAUUGGAGUCUGCAACUCGACUCCAUGAAGUCGGAAUCGCUAGUAAUCGUAGAUCAGAAUGCUACGGUGAAUACGUUCCCGGGCCUUGUACACACCGCCCGUCACACCAUGGGAGUGGGUUGCAAAAGAAGUAGGUAGCUUAACCUUCGGGAGGGCGCUUACCACUUUGUGAUUCAUGACUGGGGUGAAGUCGUAACAAGGUAACCGUAGGGGAACCUGCGGUUGGAUCACCUCCUU
This 301-nucleotide ribosomal RNA is filed under the name Klebsiella pneumoniae. Its description in RNAcentral is "partial 16S ribosomal RNA". It matches the Rfam family "Bacterial small subunit ribosomal RNA", at positions 1232 to 1532 of the family's 1533-position model. The record is from RNAcentral. Lineage: Bacteria; Pseudomonadati; Pseudomonadota; Gammaproteobacteria; Enterobacterales; Enterobacteriaceae.